CUACGGGCGGCUGCAGUGGGGAAUAUUGCACAAUGGGCGCAAGCCUGAUGCAGCCAUGCCGCGUGUAUGAAGAAGGCCUUCGGGUUGUAAAGUACUUUCAGCGGGGAGGAAGGGAGUAAAGUUAAUACCUUUGCUCAUUGACGUUACCCGCAGAAGAAGCACCGGCGAACUCCGUGCCAGCAGCCGCGGUAAUACGGAGGGUGCAAGCGUUAAUCGGAAUUACUGGGCGUAAAGCGCACGCAGGCGGUUUGUUAAGUCAGAUGUGAAAUCCCCGGGCUCAACCUGGGAACUGCAUCUGAUCCUGGCAAGCUUGAGUCUCGUAGAGGGGGGUAGAAUUCCAGGUGUAGCGGUGAAAUGCGUAGAGAUCUGGAGGAAUACCGGUGGCGAAGGCGGCCCCCUGGACGAAGACUGACGCUCAGGUGCGAAAGCGUGGGGAGCAAACAGGAUUAGAUACCCGGGUAGUC
This 464-nucleotide ribosomal RNA is filed under the name uncultured bacterium. RNAcentral describes it as "partial 16S ribosomal RNA". It matches the Rfam family "Bacterial small subunit ribosomal RNA", at positions 339 to 795 of the family's 1533-position model. The record is from RNAcentral.